Molecule: long non-coding RNA, 980 nt
Organism: Thunnus maccoyii (southern bluefin tuna)
Lineage: Eukaryota; Metazoa; Chordata; Actinopteri; Scombriformes; Scombridae
Exons: 3
Source: RefSeq, a predicted model, not a curated record
CAGAAGGAGUGGACUCCCGGAGAAAAAGACGUGCGCUUUAAGAAAAAGUGAUAUCUCCCUGUAUGCCCCCUUCACCUAUUCAGGUGCAUCUUGAAGAUAUGCAAGAGUUUUUUUGUCAGCCUGCGCAGAUAAGAGGCUGCUGAACUCUUUAAAAACACAAACCGGAAGAUGCAAAUGAAAUAAUUUGAGUGGCAGGAGGGAAAAAAAAUCAAGCUGACAAUGUGUGAAAGGGGAAAUUAUUCUGAGGACGGGUCUUCAGCUGUGUGAAUAUAACGAUGUUGACAGCUUUCCUUCCUGAGUGUUGAGCUCCAGCAGCAGAUCAGCCCACAUUUCACACAGAGGAAACCCAGGAGGCGCUUCACACUCUCUGACAGACAGCAGAGGACGGCAGCAUCAUUUGGUUUAACAAGCCGAUGUUGGGAUAAGAGGUGCAGGCCACUGACAGUGACUGUUAGCGAUGAAAAUUAUUAAAGAUGUGAGAAGAAAGAGGAGCCAAAUGACUUCCACAACACUCCCAGGAGAAUGCCAGGAGAAGAAAUUCAAAUAAAUUGUAAAGAGAAAGAUUGACUGACUGUAUGUUUUUUUAUUUCUUUGUUUAUUUGAUGACGCAAAGUGAAGAAAGUAUGGAGGAGAUGUGGGAGAGGUGAUAUGAUUCACUGGGAAGACUGUGGCACGAGGUUGUCGAGGAGUUAUGAUGGAUGUUUGGGAUUGAGUCAGUCGUUUUGAAGUCUUUUUUACCGCUGGAAUGAUAAAAGUCACGUCUGUCAGAUUAUGAAGAUUAUGUGAGAUUACUGGUGUUAUACUGUGCGCAGAUGUGAGAGGAAGUUUAGCUUUGGCAGCAGUUUAGUUGCAAAUUUAGUUGAAAAUUUAUAUGUUCACAGAUCCACAUUGGGAUCCAUUUCAACACGUCACAUUUAUAUCGGGCAGUAUAAAUGUAUCCAAUACUUUUAUAAUGUUAAUAUGAGUAUAAAUGAAAAAUA